Molecule: ribosomal RNA, 306 nt
Filed under: uncultured bacterium
Lineage: Bacteria
Description: partial 16S ribosomal RNA
Rfam family: Bacterial small subunit ribosomal RNA
Source: RNAcentral
GACAGCAGCAGCCGCGGGAAUACGUAGGUGGCAAGCGUUGUCCGGAAUUAUUGGGCGUAAAGGGCUCGCAGGCGGUUUCUUAAGUCUGAUGUGAAAGCCCCCGGCUCAACCGGGGAGGGUCAUUGGAAACUGGGAAACUUGAGUGCAGAAGAGGAGAGUGGAAUUCCACGUGUAGCGGUGAAAUGCGUAGAGAUGUGGAGGAACACCAGUGGCGAAGGCGACUCUCUGGUCUGUAACUGACGCUGAGGAGCGAAAGCGUGGGGAGCGAACAGGAUUAGAUACCCGGGUAGUCCCUGUCUCUUAUAA